Molecule: ribosomal RNA, 432 nt
Filed under: uncultured bacterium
Lineage: Bacteria
Description: partial 16S ribosomal RNA
Rfam family: Bacterial small subunit ribosomal RNA
Source: RNAcentral
ACGAACGCUGGCGGCAUGCCUAACACAUGCAAGUCGAACGAGAUCUUCGGAUCUAGUGGCGCACGGGUGCGUAACGCGUGGGAAUCUGCCCUUUGCUUCGGAAUAACAGUGAGAAAUUACUGCUAAUACCGGAUGAUGUCUUCGGACCAAAGAUUUAUCGGCAAAGGAUGAGCCCGCGUAGGAUUAGGUAGUUGGUGGGGUAAUGGCCUACCAAGCCGACGAUCCUUAGCUGGUCUGAGAGGAUGAUCAGCCACACUGGGACUGAGACACGGCCCAGACUCCUACGGGAGGCAGCAGUGGGGAAUAUUGGACAAUGGGGGAAACCCUGAUCCAGCAAUGCCGCGUGAGUGAUGAAGGCCUUAGGGUUGUAAAGCUCUUUUACCAGGGAUGAUAAUGACAGUACCUGGAGAAUAAGCUCCGGCUAACUCCGUG